Molecule: long non-coding RNA, 998 nt
Organism: Crotalus tigris (Tiger rattlesnake)
Lineage: Eukaryota; Metazoa; Chordata; Lepidosauria; Squamata; Viperidae
Exons: 3
Source: RefSeq, a predicted model, not a curated record
CGGUGGUGUUCUACCUGGCAGUGUGGGUGUCAGCUCCAUGGGCGUCCCAACCAACAGCUGAGCAGCUCCCACUUCUGGUCGCCGAACAGCUGAGUCCUCCGGGAGGCAAUGUUUUACAGAAUUCUGCAUGAGGAAGAGUUCUUUGUAAACUGAAUCUGAAGAACCUUCAAACAACUUUCGUCAUAAGAACAAACUUUUACCUGGGAAAAAAGAGCAUCAGAAACCAUGAAGGAUUAGCACAGAGUGAAAAUAAGCUAUACAAUAGAGAAAAAGAUGAAAACAACAGCUGUAAAGUUAUCUUAUGAGUUAUGAGCAAGAUGAAAUAUAUCCCAAAAUUCAGAGGUUUUGACAGACCUAACACAACAGAAAAUACUUUCUCCACUUUCUAUGAUUAUUGGUUAUUCCUUUGCUUAUGGCUUAUUGAAAAAAAAAAAAAACAAGACCAACUACAUAGCAGAAGAAUGGACCUGCACUGGGAAUUCCUGCAUCGAAGAAUAGGAACAGAUAACUUGGGAGAAAUUCCCAUUUUAAAAUGCAGGAGAAAAAGUUGCAUCUUUCAGAACAGAACAGCACAACAGAGUUGGAAGGAACCUUGAAAUUUUUCUAGUCCAGCCCCCUGCUCAAGCUGGUAAAAACCAAUAUGAUUGCAUAGUAGAAAAGAUAAGUCCUAAAUUACAAAUCACUAUUUAUUAUUAUUAUCAUGCUUAUCUUUACUACCCCCUCUUAUUGGUGUUAUUAUGAUUAUUAAUCUGUUGCUGUGCAUGUAUACUGAGAAAUUCUGCACUGAAACCAAAUUCCUUUUGUGUCUAAUCACACUUGGCCAAAUAAAGUAUUCUAUUCUGUUCUGUUCCUACUGUACUCUUUUCAAAUGCUAUGCAGGAAUUUUUUGUUCUCCUUCACCAUCUUGAUUUUAACUACCCUUCCAAUAGCCCUGCAUCGAUGUUCACCUUCCAAAUGGAAAGAUAAUUCAGAGCAGUGCCUAGGGGGGCAUGUUGCCA